GCCUACUGUUUAAUUUUGAAAGUUCUUUAUGAACUUCAUAUUUGGGGGUGUAGCUCAGUUGGGAGAGCACUUGCCUUGCAAGCAAGGGGUCAGGAGUUCGACUCUCCUCAUCUCCACCAUUUAAGAGCAUAUUACUUAAAUCUUUGAUUUAUCUAGUAGUCUCUUACAUUGCACUUUAAGCAACAGAAUAAGCUAAACUAAUGUGAAGUUUGUUUGUUGGCAUUGUGUGUUAGCACUUUGAAAACUGCAUAUAUAUUUAGUGAUAUGACAUCUAAUUUGUAAUAUAUAAAGCUAAUAACUUUUAAAAUUAUCGAAGUUGAUAGCUUCUAAUCUAUCAAACCUUUUUAACUGGUCAA
Molecule: transfer RNA, 356 nt
Filed under: Clostridioides difficile
Lineage: Bacteria; Bacillati; Bacillota; Clostridia; Peptostreptococcales; Peptostreptococcaceae
Description: 16S-23S ribosomal RNA intergenic spacer (ISR)
Rfam family: tRNA (bases 44-116)
Source: RNAcentral